Leptonychotes weddellii (Weddell seal) is the source of this 490-nucleotide long non-coding RNA. RefSeq lists it as uncharacterized. The record is from RefSeq and is a predicted model, not a curated record. NCBI's taxonomy places the organism in Eukaryota, Metazoa, Chordata, Mammalia, Carnivora, Phocidae.
GGCCCUGGCGCACCUUUCCUCCCCGCCGCCACAACGUGAGCGCCCCGCCGCCCAGAUAACCGCCGACUCCCGCUCCACCCCCGCCUUCCCCCACUCCGCCCACUGCCGAACGCCCAGGGCAAUCCAGCUUGGAAGACCAGUGUGCAGAGCGAUGGCUAAAGAAGCAAGCAGGGGCUGCAGACCAGUGUCCUCUCUCGACAUGUCAUAAGAAGAGGGCCUCCGCUCUCAAUCAGACUGCUAAGCCCAUGCCCCCUUCUUCAGUGGCUGGCAUUACAACUGACAGUCAAUGCAAGCACCAUUAAUUUUUUUUUUUGCAAGCACCAUUUAGCACCCACAGCUGGUCUCACUGGAAGAUCGGGCUUCUGUCAACCUGGUUUCCUGGCCUUGGAUAGUUCUUCACUAACUUCUUCAUUAAGGCAGUGGACAAAACCCAGUAUAAGCCAUUUUUAAAAAAGAUUUUAUUUAUUUAUUUGACAGAGAGAGAGAGGGA